This is a long non-coding RNA of Rosa rugosa (rugosa rose), 566 nucleotides long. RefSeq lists it as uncharacterized. NCBI's taxonomy places the organism in Eukaryota, Viridiplantae, Streptophyta, Magnoliopsida, Rosales, Rosaceae. The record is from RefSeq and is a predicted model, not a curated record. The transcript has 3 exons.
CACUUCAAUCUUAAUCUCCGAUCGGCAGUGUGCUGGCUCAGUGGCCGUCGCCUUCGACCAUGAGGAUCCUUCGGGCGAGAAGCUACAUGCGCCGUCGAAAUAGGCAGUGAACUUAUCGUUGCUCCGGUCGAGCUUGUAGCCGGUGACUGGAUGACGUCGUAGGGCCACCGGGAAUCGUCAUCGGCGGUGGCUCUGAAGAACGGUGAUUGUUCUGGUUUGAAUUAGCAAUUCCGACCGGAGCUCUGCAAAAAAUGAUUCUAAUCAAUGAUGAGAAGAUUUGGAGUUUUGAAUUGGCACUGAUAGGUCUUCCUUUCCGAGUUGAAAUCAAGAGGAAACUGGCUCAAAGAACAGAGAGAGUAAAAUCUAGGGAUCUACAUCCAACGGAAAAUUGGUUGAAGACUGCCUAAUAUCAUUUGUAUUUUGUAGAUCAUGAAAUUGUUGCAAAUGCUUGACUUAGCAUUUUGUUUUUCUAUUUUGCCUAUUUUUACCAUACCAGCAUAUAUGAGUAUCAUGCAUAUGUAAGCGUUUAUGUGUGCUGAAGAAAGGAGAGCUUCAUAUCAUUUUUA